MicroRNA precursor from Anser brachyrhynchus (Pink-footed goose), 87 nucleotides. Lineage: Eukaryota; Metazoa; Chordata; Aves; Anseriformes; Anatidae. The record is from Ensembl.
CUAACUUUUAGUUCCUGUAAACAUCCUACACUCAGCUAUAACAAGUGGUAGGGCUGGGGGGUGGAUGUUUACUUCAACUGACUUGGA